This 82-nucleotide transfer RNA is filed under the name Canis lupus familiaris (dog). It matches the Rfam family "tRNA". From Rfam's summary of the family: Transfer RNA (tRNA) molecules are approximately 80 nucleotides in length. Their secondary structure includes four short double-helical elements and three loops (D, anti-codon, and T loops). The record is from Rfam by way of RNAcentral. Lineage: Eukaryota; Metazoa; Chordata; Mammalia; Carnivora; Canidae. RNAcentral also lists the same sequence under 1 other name.
UCCCUUGUGGCUCAGUGGUUGAGCGUCUGCCUUGGGCUCAGGUCAUGAUCCUGGGGUCCUGGGAUCGAGUCCCACAUGGGAU